AGCGAACGCUGGCGGCAGGCCUAAUACAUGCAAGUCGAGCGGUUCCUUCGGGAACAGCGGCGGACGGGUGAGUAACGCGUGGGAACGUGCCCUUUGGUACGGAACAACUGAGGGAAACUUCAGCUAAUACCGUAUGUGCCAUUCGGGGGGAAAGAUUUAUCGCCAUUGGAGCGGCCCGCGUUAGAUUAGCUAGUUGGUGG
This 200-nucleotide ribosomal RNA is filed under the name uncultured bacterium. RNAcentral's name for it is "partial 16S ribosomal RNA". It matches the Rfam family "Bacterial small subunit ribosomal RNA", at positions 29 to 255 of the family's 1533-position model. The record is from RNAcentral.